RNAcentral lists this microRNA precursor (98 nucleotides) under Pelobates cultripes (western spadefoot toad). Lineage: Eukaryota; Metazoa; Chordata; Amphibia; Anura; Pelobatidae. The record is from RNAcentral.
AAAACAUAGUGUGGUCUGUAUAUAAAACACAAUAAGAAGGAAAUUAUGAGCUGGAAAUUAUUAUCCUUCUUAUUGUGUUUUAUAUACAGACCACACUA